Molecule: long non-coding RNA, 259 nt
Filed under: Lathyrus oleraceus (garden pea)
Lineage: Eukaryota; Viridiplantae; Streptophyta; Magnoliopsida; Fabales; Fabaceae
Description: Pisum sativum (pea) long non-coding RNA (PSAT_LNC034306)
Source: RNAcentral
UCAAUAGAAACCCAAAAUUCCCUUGGACUUUUUAGAAUUAAGCAAUCACACAAAUGCACAAUUAUACCAAUCUUGAAGGGCAAAUGCAUCAAAUAAAUAUGGCCUCAUCCUAGCUUAUCCACUUCAAUGAUCUUCUUCAAAAUAGCCUAUGUAGCAGAUGAAUUCCACAAGUCACAGGUUCAACAUGACAGCUUAAUAAUGAUCAAUGUUGCAGAUGAAUCUGGAGAGAUCUAGAAUGAUGUAUAAGGUGAAUUCAAAU